GGGAAAGUACGUUAUUACCCAAUAAUUAUGGAUUGCAGGUGCUCAUUAGGUUGAAGAAAAAGUUCAAAACACUGAGAUCCAGGGUAUCGAGUACAGCAAAUCCGUGUGUGUAUUGGAAUAGGAGAUUUACCACCAGAACUGAGGAAAUAGGACAGAUGGAAAAGCAAGGGGAAGGAAGUGUUUUUGAAUGAAGUGCCAUCAAGAGAAGGAAGAGUUCAGAUUCUGCUGCAGAGCCCAGCUGUGAACGAGUCAGGAGCUCCCACCUCUACCCGAAAACCGGAGGAGAGGGAAGUAGGCUAGAACCCAACACAGUGCUUCUGGAAAGCACUUCAGAAGGCAAAGGAGCAAGCUGAGGUCAUAGGAAUUCCCCUGUGUGCCCCACGUGGGCUCCCCGUCUCCAGCCAAGUCCUCUGAAUCUCUAAUUACAUCCCGGAACCGGCAUUCUCCUUCUGCCCUCUCUCCCCAAGGAAAGAUGUCUCUGCUGUCUCACUGAGCUCCCUGCGGGGAAACCGACUCUAAGGAGACCAUUAGCAAGCUGCUGGGAGCUGGGGCUCCGGUUGCUGAGAACAGGCUGGGCUCAGAGCUGCCAGCCAGCCCAUCGAUCAUGGAUUUCACCGGGAUGCUUUCUGACCUUUCAAGGUUAGUGAAGACUCAGCAGUCACAUACCGUUCUGUGAUUAAAUGUCUCAAUCCUGAGCACGGUCUAUUAUUUUGCAAUUCAGAGAAGAAAAGGGACAGUACUUAGUAGCAAGGUGGUUUUUAGUGACAGCAACACGAUGACACGGUUUAAAAGGUUUUAAAGAGACAAAGAUGGUUACAACUCUCACAAGUUCUAUUUUUUGCAUCUUGUUUUGUUUUUUUAUAUUUGUGUAGCUAUGCUGAUAUUUUCUGCACUUAAUAGCACAUAUUUUUUGUUGAAGUAUAGUUGACACGCAACGUUACGUUAGUUUCAGGUAUACAACGUGGUGAUUUGACAUCUCUAUACGUUAUUCAGGCUCAUCACAAGGGUAACUACCAUCUGUCACCAUGCAACACCAUUACUACGUCAUUGACUAAAUUCCCUAUGCUGUACCUUUCACCCACGUGACUUAUUCACUCCGUAACCGGAAACUUGUAUCUCCCACUCCCCUUCACCCGUUUUGCCCAUCCUC
Molecule: long non-coding RNA, 1150 nt
Organism: Neofelis nebulosa (Clouded leopard)
Lineage: Eukaryota; Metazoa; Chordata; Mammalia; Carnivora; Felidae
Exons: 5
Source: RefSeq, a predicted model, not a curated record